This 465-nucleotide ribosomal RNA is filed under the name uncultured bacterium. RNAcentral's name for it is "partial 16S ribosomal RNA". It matches the Rfam family "Bacterial small subunit ribosomal RNA", at positions 28 to 507 of the family's 1533-position model. The record is from RNAcentral.
GACGAACGCUGGCGGCGUGCUUAACACAUGCAAGUCGAACGGAAAAGCGCCUUUGGGGGUACUGGAGGGGCGAACGGGGCAAAAACGCGUGAGAAACCUGCGUUACACUUCGCCAUCACUUCGGGAAACGCGGGAUAAUACCGGUAAUGAGGGAUUGCUGCGUGGUGGGGCAUGGAAGGCUUGGGCGGUAUUGGAUGGACUCGCGGCAUGUCAGCGCGUUGUUGGGGUAGUGGCGUGCCAAGGCGGUGACGGGUAGCCGGCCUGCGCGGGCGGCCGGCCACAGUGGGACUGCGUUACGGCCCAGACUCCUACGGGUGGCAGCCGUGGGGAAUAUUGCACAAUGGGCGGCGGCCUGAUGCAGCAACGCCGCGUGCGGGAUGACGGCCUUCGGGUUGUAGACCGCUUUCAGCAGGGGCGAAGCUUGUGGUGACGGUACCUGCAGAAGAAGCACCGGCUAACUACGUG